GUGGGGAAUAUUGCACAAUGGGGGAAACCCUGAUGCAGCAACGCCGCGUGAAGGAAGACGGUUUUCGGAUUGUAAACUUCUGUUCUUAGUGAAGAAUAAUGACGGUAGCUAAGGAGCAAGCCACGGCUAACUACGUGCCAGCAGCCGCGGUAAUACGUAGGUGGCAAGCGUUGUCCGGAAUUACUGGGUGUAAAGGGAGCGUAGGCGGGAUGCCAAGUCAGCUGUGAAAACUACGGGCUUAACCUGUAGACUGCAGUUGAAACUGGUAUUCUUGAGUGAAGUAGAGGUUGGCGGAAUUCCGAGUGUAGCGGUGAAAUGCGUAGAUAUUCGGAGGAACACCGGUGGCGAAGGCGGCCAACUGGGCUUUAACUGACGCUGAGGCUCGAAAGUGUGGGGAGCAAACAGGAUUAGAAACCCUAGUAGUCCC
RNAcentral lists this ribosomal RNA (427 nucleotides) under uncultured bacterium. RNAcentral describes it as "bacterial SSU rRNA". It matches the Rfam family "Bacterial small subunit ribosomal RNA", at positions 354 to 797 of the family's 1533-position model. The record is from RNAcentral.